Molecule: long non-coding RNA, 260 nt
Organism: Leguminivora glycinivorella
Lineage: Eukaryota; Metazoa; Arthropoda; Insecta; Lepidoptera; Tortricidae
Exons: 3
Source: RefSeq, a predicted model, not a curated record
UUCAGACGUACACGCAUUAUUUGGAACUGAAAUUUACGUAAUUUAUCGACCUGCUGGCUUGUAUUUGUUAUAAAUCAUAAAAAAAUUAUGGAAAACAUCAUGAACAAUAAUGAAACAAACCGAACCUUUAGCUACAAUAAUAAAAUGACCCCAUGACGCCAGUGGAACUACGUGGUUUUCUUUCAUGAUGAUUUGAUGAUACCAUAAUGGAAUUAGCCAAGUUUUCGCCGUAUUGGGUGCUAGAUGCCCUUGGAGUUAAG